This is a ribosomal RNA of Pteropus vampyrus (large flying fox), 124 nucleotides long. The record is from Ensembl. NCBI's taxonomy places the organism in Eukaryota, Metazoa, Chordata, Mammalia, Chiroptera, Pteropodidae.
GUCUACAGCCAUACUACCCUGACCUGAGCAAGCCAGAUCCUGUCUGAUCUUGGAAGCUAAUCAGGGUCAGGCCUGGUUAGUACUUGGAUGGGAGACCACCUAGGAAAACUAGGUGCUAUAGGUG